CUUUGGAAGCUCAAAGCCGCACUGGAAACACAGUCUUUCAGGAUGUCUGAAAGGGGCAAGUCUGUUUGUGUGGGGUAAGAAAUGCGGGGAGACAAACGGACAGUGGACAGAUUGCAGAGAGCUCUGUGUGCUGAGAGGAGGGUGCAGACCAGAUUUUUAAAUUGAGAAUGCAACAGUGAAGGAUUUCAAGCUUGGAGUGAGAGGGGAGACUACGAGCCUGCAGUGAUAAGGCAAAGCUGAAGAUUUCAGAGCCAAGGCCACACCCUACAGUUGCCAUGGAAUGGGGUGGCACAGUGGGCUUUGGAGAUAUACAGGGAGUCCACGGAGCCUCCCCUGCAAGCAUCAGUACAGAAGUCGAUGAUAAUCUGGAUGCAAGCCCAGGAGUGUGGAGUCCACUGACUCAGAAGACCUGCAUCUAAGGAAUUGGCUGUUCUUAUCCUUAAGAAUGAUGACUGUGUUUCCAAUUCCAGUAGACCCUUUGAUGCGUUCUGAAUAAAUAUUCCUUUUGGAAUUGAACUUCUAGAGCCCUUAACUUUGGCCCACUCUAGUUUUCUGUCUGUUUUUUUUUUUUUUAAUAUUUUUUUUUUGUAAAGAUAAGGUCUUGCUUUGUUGCCCAGGCUGGUCUUGAAUUCCUGGACUCAAGCAAUCCACCUGCCUUGGCCUCCCAAAGUGCUGGGAUUAUAGGUGUGAACCAUUGUGUCCGAUCGCUCUCUGGUUUUUCUAAUAUCAUGAUCCCAACUCUGUUCUUUAUGUAAAUUUCCCUGAUCACAUGGUUGUAUCUUGGCAUUUCAAAAUCCUUGACAGACUUUGUUUUGUUUGAAUUUUACAAUGAACUUACAUGACUAGGCACGGUCCCCAGUUCAGUUUUAUAGACAAGGAUUCUGUAGGUCAAGAAGUGAAACACAACCAAUAACAGCAGGUGACAGGAUUUAAACCUGGGUCACUUUACUUAUUUUUUUCUACUCUAUCAUUAUGUGAAUCUAUCCUACCUCUGCAAUGACAGAUGGCCCUAGAGCAAGAACACUUCCUUACAUCUGGUAUACAGUCAAAAAGUAAAAAUUCCACACAAAUAAAUAUGGAAAGAAUUUUUACCUGCUCCUAUAGCUUCCUUUCAGGGACCUGGCACCCACAAAUGUUGGGUAACAGAAAGAGGACUUAUGUAACUUAACUCAAAGCAGAAAAGUUACAGAGACUGUCUUAGCAUAAUAGAGCAUGGAGUGGUCAUGCUUGGAUGUGCAAACUGUCUGAUAGUCUUGCACAUGGCUUGACCCCGAAUUACACUAGUGGGGCAAGUUGCCUGGGGCAAAGCAAACUUAUUGGACCCAAAGCUCUCAUUUGAGAAUUUUGUUGACUAAAAGUUAUAAAAUAUCAGCAAUUUCAUAUGGUUCAGCCUAAUAUUUUAUCACUCUUCCUUUUUCUAUUCUAAAACAAUAAUUUUUAAUAACGUAAGCUAUACACAUACAUGCUUUAAACAUACAACACCCUGACUAUCAUAUAGUGGAUAUUUCAAGAAGUAAAUGUUCAGCAUGUCUUCA
RNAcentral lists this long non-coding RNA (1535 nucleotides) under Homo sapiens (human). RNAcentral describes it as "non-protein coding LINC02217:35". The record is from RNAcentral. Lineage: Eukaryota; Metazoa; Chordata; Mammalia; Primates; Hominidae.